Molecule: transfer RNA, 78 nt
Filed under: Actinomycetes bacterium
Lineage: Bacteria; Bacillati; Actinomycetota; Actinomycetes
Description: Actinobacteria bacterium tRNA-Met
Source: RNAcentral
UGGCCGCAGCUUGGCAAAUCGUGGAGUUUGGGACUCAUAAUCCCUUGGUCGCAGGUUCGAUCCCUGCCCGGCCCACCC